AUUGAACGCUGGCGGCAGGCUUAACACAUGCAAGUCGAGCGGGGUGAUGGUGCUUGCACUAUCACUUAGCGGCGGACGGGUGAGUAAUGCUUAGGAAUCUGCCUAUUAGUGGGGGACAACAUCUCGAAAGGGAUGCUAAUACCGCAUACGUCCUACGGGAGAAAGCAGGGGAUCACUUGUGACCUCGCGCUAAUAGAUGAGACUAAGUCGGAUUAGCAAGUUGGUGGGGUAAAGGCCUACAAGGCGACGAUCUGUAGCGGGUCUGAGAGGAUGCUCCGCCACACUGGGACUGAGACACGGCCCAGACUCCUACGGGAGGCAGCAGUGGGGAAUAUUGGACAAUGGGGGGAACCCUGAUCCAGCCAUGCCGCGUGUGUGAAGAAGGCCUUAUGGUUGUAAAGCACUUUAAGCGAGGAGGAGGCUCUUUUGGUUAAUACCCAAGAUGAGUGGACGUUACUCGCAGAAUAAGCACCGGCUAACUCUGUGCCAGCCGCCGCGGUAA
Molecule: ribosomal RNA, 502 nt
Filed under: uncultured bacterium
Lineage: Bacteria
Description: partial 16S ribosomal RNA
Rfam family: Bacterial small subunit ribosomal RNA
Source: RNAcentral